RNAcentral lists this microRNA precursor (78 nucleotides) under Petromyzon marinus (sea lamprey). RNAcentral describes it as "microRNA pma-mir-4609 precursor". Lineage: Eukaryota; Metazoa; Chordata; Hyperoartia; Petromyzontiformes; Petromyzontidae. The record is from miRBase by way of RNAcentral.
AGAGUGAUGGGAGAGCUCGGAUUUGGUCGCCCGUGCAGGUUCGGUCCGUGCGGGUUUUAAACUCCGAGCCAGAGCAGC